RNAcentral lists this ribosomal RNA (494 nucleotides) under uncultured bacterium. RNAcentral describes it as "partial 16S ribosomal RNA". It matches the Rfam family "Bacterial small subunit ribosomal RNA", at positions 28 to 507 of the family's 1533-position model. The record is from RNAcentral.
GACGAACGCUGGCGGCGUGCUUAACACAUGCAAGUCGAACGGUGAAGCGCCUUCCUUUUUGGUGGGUGUGGAUGAGUGGCGAACGGGUGAGUAACACGUGAGUAACCUGACCCCUUCUUCUGGAUAACCGCAUGAAAGUGUGGCUAAUACGGGAUAUUCUGGGUCUGUCGCAUGAUGGGUCUGGGAAAGAUAUUGUUUCGGUGGGGGAUGGGCUCGCGGCCUAUCAGCUUGUUGGUGGGGUGAUGGCCUACCAAGGCGGUGACGGGUAGCCGGCCUGAGAGGGUGGACGGUCACACUGGGACUGAGACACGGCCCAGACUCCUACGGGAGGCAGCAGUGGGGAAUAUUGCACAAUGGGCGCAAGCCUGAUGCAGCGACGCCGCGUGAGGGAUGGAGGCCUUCGGGUUGUGAACCUCUUUCGCCAGUGAAGCAGGCCUGCCUCGUUUGUGGGUGGGUUGACGGUAGCUGGAUAAGAAGCGCCGGCUAACUACGUG